AAAAGAUGCCUUGGAGCCGGUGAACGAGAAGAAGGGCAAGGGAACCGGAAUUGGAACAUUGAUCCCAACCUGUCCGGCUUCAAUAUCCGUUUGAAACUUCCUCGCCGCUAUCCCAGAUGUUGUGAAUAUGGAAGCUCCAUUCCCGUACCUAUUUCCGUUAACGAUGCUAAUGGCCUCCUCUAAACUCUCAGCCUGCAUGCAAAGCAGAACUGGGCCAAAUAUUUCUUCCUUGUAGCACUCCAUGUCCGGCGUCACAUCUGUUAAGAUAGUAGGGCCAAUAAAAUUUCCACUCUCGUAUCCAGGAACCACUAUAUUUCUCCCAUCUAGCAGUAGCCUGGCUCCACUAUCGAUGCCAGAUUGAACCAAUCUGUGAAUCCUAUCCUUUGCCUGCUUGCUAAUUACUGGA
RNAcentral lists this unclassified non-coding RNA (406 nucleotides) under Hevea brasiliensis (rubber tree). Lineage: Eukaryota; Viridiplantae; Streptophyta; Magnoliopsida; Malpighiales; Euphorbiaceae. The record is from RNAcentral.